CAAAAUGCGAUAAGUAAUGUGAAUUGCAGAAUUCAGUGAAUCAUCGAAUCUUUGAACGCACAUUGCGCCCGCCAGUAUUCUGGCGGGCAUGCCUGUUCGAGCGUCAUUUCAACCCUCAAGCCCCCGGGUUUGGUGUUGGGGAUCGGGCUGCGGUUCUGCCGCGUCCCGGCCCCGAAAUCUAGUGGCGGUCUCGCUGCAGCCUCCAUUGCGUAGUAGCUAACACCUCGCAACUGGAACGCGGCGCGGCCAAGCCGUUAAACCCCCAACUUCUGAAUGUUGACCUCGGAUCAGGUAGGAAUACCCGCUGAACUUAAGC
RNAcentral lists this unclassified non-coding RNA (316 nucleotides) under plant metagenome. RNAcentral describes it as "partial contains 5.8S ribosomal RNA, internal transcribed spacer 2, and large subunit ribosomal RNA". The stretch from base 1 to 106 matches the Rfam family "5.8S ribosomal RNA", at positions 49 to 154 of the family's 154-position model. The record is from RNAcentral.